UACGUAGGGGGCAAGCGUUGUCCGGAUUUAUUGGGCGUAAAGGGCGCGUAGGCGGUUUCUUAAGUUUGAAGUGACAGUGGGUGGCUUAACUACCCAAGGCCUUUGAAAACUGGGGAACUUGAGGACCAGAGAGGGACAUAGAAUUCCGGGUGGAGUGGUGAAAUGCGUAGAUAUCCGGAGGAAUACCAAAGGCGAAGGCAGUGUCCUGGAGGGUUAACUGACGCUGAGGCGCGAAAGCUAGGGGAGCGAACAGG
This 254-nucleotide ribosomal RNA is filed under the name uncultured bacterium. RNAcentral describes it as "partial 16S ribosomal RNA". It matches the Rfam family "Bacterial small subunit ribosomal RNA", at positions 524 to 776 of the family's 1533-position model. RNAcentral also lists the same sequence under 1 other name. The record is from RNAcentral.